GAUGAACGCUGGCGGCGUGCUUAACACAUGCAAGUCGAACGGGAUCCAGGGAGUGCUUGCACUAUUUGGUCAGAGUGGCGAACGGGCUAGUCACACGUUCGUAACCUCUCCUUUUCUUUGGUAUAAGCUCCUGAAAGUGUGUUCAAUACCUUAUGUUCUGUCUGCCUCGCAUGGGCGGGUUGGGUUAGAUUUGUUUCGGUAAGGGUUGGGCCCGCGGUCUAUCAGCUUGUUGGUGGGGUGAUGGCUUACCAAGACUUUGGGGCGUAGCCUGCCUGGGAGGAUGGUCGGGUAAGUUGGAAUUGGGAUGAGGCCCGGACUCGAGCGGUAGGCAGCAGUGGAGUAUAUAAUACAGUAGGCGGAAGGCUGGUGCAGCGACGCCGCGUGGCGGAUGAAGGCAUGCGGUUUGUAAACCUCUUUUAUCACGGAAGAAGUGAGAGUGACGGUACGUGCAGAAGAAGCGCCGGCUAACUACGUG
RNAcentral lists this ribosomal RNA (475 nucleotides) under uncultured bacterium. RNAcentral describes it as "partial 16S ribosomal RNA". It matches the Rfam family "Bacterial small subunit ribosomal RNA", at positions 28 to 507 of the family's 1533-position model. The record is from RNAcentral.